Molecule: long non-coding RNA, 426 nt
Filed under: Equus asinus (donkey)
Lineage: Eukaryota; Metazoa; Chordata; Mammalia; Perissodactyla; Equidae
Description: lncRNA (ENSEASG00005031481.1)
Source: RNAcentral
AGCAAUUCACGGACAAAGGACCUGGGGGUUUUAGUGACCGUAAAUUCAACCUGACCCUGGCUGGUCCUGCUCAGCUCCUUACCCAAAUCCUCCUGGCUUUGGUUUUGGGUCUCUGAAAACCAGCUCAUACUAGGAACUUUGAAGAAACUCAGGAAACAUUUCCCCUGGAGAAGAGACUGUGGCAAGCAUAAUGGGCAUCUCCAAAUGAAAGCAGAAGUAGACCUGUCCUGUGUUGCUCCAGGCGGGAGUAUUACAGCUAGAGAGGCCCCGUCAGCUGCCCAGCCCUGGCCCCGGCCCCAGGGAGGUGAAGCAAGUGUUGAAGUCACCGGAGGCGGGAGGCAACGGAUACCUCUCUGCAUCCCCCAUGGCAGCAGCAGUUCAGGAGGCCUGCAGCAAAUAUUUCUGGGUUACUUGGUGAAUUGGACA